UGGGGAAUUUUGCGCAAUGGGCGAAAGCCUGACGCAGCAACGCCGCGUGGGUGAUGAAGGUCUUCGGAUCGUAAAACCCUGUCGUCAGGGACGAAGGUUGCGAGUUUAAGAGAUGCGCAACUUGACGGUACCUGGAGAGGAAGCCCCGGCUAACUCUGUGCCAGCAGCCGCGGUAAUACAGAGGGGGCAAGCGUUAUUCGGAAUUAUUGGGCGUAAAGGGCGCGUAGGCGGUUUGUUAAGUCAGAUGUGUAAUCCCCGAGCUCAACUUGGGAACUGCAUCUGAGACUGGGAGACUAGAGUACUGGAGAGGGUGGUAGAAUUCCACGUGUAGCGGUGAAAUGCGUAGAGAUGUGGAGGAAUACCAGUGGCGAAGGCGGCCACCUGGACAGUAACUGACGCUGAGGCGCGAAAGUGUGGGUAGCAAACA
RNAcentral lists this ribosomal RNA (427 nucleotides) under uncultured prokaryote. RNAcentral describes it as "bacterial SSU rRNA". It matches the Rfam family "Bacterial small subunit ribosomal RNA", at positions 355 to 774 of the family's 1533-position model. The record is from RNAcentral.